This 1032-nucleotide long non-coding RNA is filed under the name Numida meleagris (helmeted guineafowl). RNAcentral describes it as "lncRNA (ENSNMEG00000001090.1)". The record is from RNAcentral. Lineage: Eukaryota; Metazoa; Chordata; Aves; Galliformes; Numididae.
UGUGGGGGGGAGGACGCUGCUGCUCCCUUUCAUCGCACGGCGUCAGCCCCACGGAAUCUCUGAGUAAGGUUCUGCUCCGAGCAGGGCGGCUCCUGGCCUCGCUCCAGCUGCUCCUCCUGCACAGCACAGUGCAACACAGCACAGCACAACAGUGCACAGCACAACACAGCACAGCACAACACAGCACAACAGAGCACAGCUCAACCUGGCAACGGUGCGCGCCACGCUGGGCAUUGCUCCAAGCGUUGCUCUGUGCUGGGCAUUGCUCCAAGCUUGGCUCCGUGCUGGGCAUUGCUCCAAGCUUGGCUCCGUGCUGGGCAUUGCUCCAAGCAUUGCUCCGUGCUGGGCAUUGCUCCAAGCGUUGCUCUCUGCUGGGCAUUGCUCCAAGCAUUGCUCUGUGCUGGGCAUUGCUCCAAGCAUUGCCCUGUGCUGGGCAUUGCUCCAUACCAUGCAUUGCUCUGUGCUCCAAGCAUUACUCUGUACCAUGCAUGCAUUGCUCUGUGCUGGGCAUUGGUCUGCACCAUGCAUGCAUUGCUCUGUGCUGGGCAUUGCUCUGCACCAUGCAUUGCUCUGUGCUGGGCAUUGCUCUGCACCAUGCAUGCAUUGCUCUGUGCCGGGCAUUGCUCUGUGCCGGGCAUUGCACCGUGCAUUGCUCUGGGCAUUGCUGUGCACAUUGCAUUGCUCCAGACAUUGCUCUGCGCCUUGCUCCAUGCAUUGCUGUGCACAUUGCAUUGCUCCAGACAUUGCUCUGCACCGUGCAUUACUGUGCACACUGCUCCAGGCAUUGCUCCAUGCACUGCCCUGUGCAUUGCUCAGUGCAUUGCUCUGGGCAUUGCUCUGUACCGUGCAUUGCUCUGGGCAUUGCUGUGCACAUUGCAUUGCUCCAGACAUUGCUCUGCAUAUUGCUCAGGGCAUUGCUCUGCACCUUGCUCCAUGCAUUGCUCUGGGCAUUGCUGAGCACAUUGCUCCGUGCAUUGCUGAGCACAUUGCUCCGUGCAUUGCUGAGCACAUUGCUCCGUGCAUGGCUCCGUG